This 476-nucleotide long non-coding RNA is filed under the name Androctonus crassicauda. Lineage: Eukaryota; Metazoa; Arthropoda; Arachnida; Scorpiones; Buthidae. The record is from RNAcentral.
GGCUUCAUUACAUAUCAGACAAAUUGGCUUGUCCUUAUAAAUAACAAACAAAUAUUCUUGAGUGCACUUCUCCUGGAAGGUGUGACGUUCUUGAACAACAUUUCUGUAUUUACUACCUGAAAGUCUGGACAUAUUUUAGGACCAGAAAUUUUUUCAAAUUUUUCAAAACAAUAAAAACUUAGUAAUUCAACUUCUGUACUUCUCCAACUGAUCUUAAUGCAAAUUGGUGGGAAUCACAGCUGCUUCUCCUCAUAUAGCAGGUGGCCUAAGCAUCUCGAAUAUUCCAGAAUUUACUGGAACCGUCUAAUUUCUAGGCAGUCGCCAUAUCUGCGUGACACGGUGGGCCAUAUUAAUAUGCAGCAGAGAAAUUUAAUGAUGGGCCGGACAAAUCUUGCUCGAGGGCCACAUGUGGCCCGCAGGCCAGGGGUUGCCUACCUCUAGUUUAAAAUAUUAAACAAAUGUUAGACUUAAAUAGC